This is a long non-coding RNA of Anolis carolinensis (green anole), 513 nucleotides long. RefSeq lists it as uncharacterized. NCBI's taxonomy places the organism in Eukaryota, Metazoa, Chordata, Lepidosauria, Squamata, Anolidae. The record is from RefSeq and is a predicted model, not a curated record. The transcript is spliced from 2 exons.
AGACAUUUUAUAAAUGAUAGGAAAAACUUGUUUUUCUAUUCAUAAUUUAACACUACUGUAUUUUAUAGUUUCUCAUUUAUAUGUUUUUCUCCCCCCUACAGUGAUAAACAACACCUUUUAUGCCCUAGCCUUCAUGCAUCGAAUACAUCAUUCGCUGUAAUGUUCCCAAGAAGCAUGGGAUUGCUCAGACUUCAGCAAACUAACUGGCUUUGACAGCCAGGUCAAAUGACUUCUUGUUUUGGAAGAAAGAACACAGAGGGACAACGGAAGGAGAGGACAAACUUUUCUGCUUCUCCUUUGGACUUCUCUAGGUGAAAUUUCCACAGCUGAUAGUAUUUUCUGAGGGACAGGAGGAAAAAAAAACCCAAGAAAGAAAGUUAAUUUUACAAGGCUGAAAGAUUUUACAAGACUGAAUGGUUUUAAAGGACAGAUUUCCGGCACUUGCUAAACUAUUGAACCUGCUUUUCUUGCUAGAUAAUAAAAUAUUGGCUAUCAAAGUUGCCUAAAUUGAAA